ACCCUUCCUUUGAUUUUAUUGGGGGACGUAGUCUGCCCGUCAUUAAAGAUAAGGGGCCGCGGUAUUUUGACCGUGCAAAGGUAGCAUAAUCAUUAGUCUCUUAAUUGGGGAAUGGAAUGAAUGGCUUAAUGAUUUUUUUCUUUAAUAGUAUAAAAUAUAAAAUUUUGAUUUUAAGUGAAAAUACUUAAAUUUUUUAAAAAGACGAUAAGACCCUAUAGAAUUUUAAUUUUCUUUUUAUAAAAAUAUAAAAUAUAAAUUUUGUUGGGGCAGUAUAAGAAAAAGAAUAAUUUCUUUAAUAAAUUUUUUUAAAUAUCUUAAAUCAAAUAUUUUAAAAAAAUUACCUUAGGGAUAACAGCGUUAUAUUUUUUGAGAGUUCUAAUCGACAAAAUUUGUUGCGACCUCGAUGUUGAAUUAAAAUACCUAGUUGGAGCAGAAGUUAAUUAAGGUAGUCUGUUCGACUAUAAAAUUUUUACAUGAUUUGAGU
Molecule: ribosomal RNA, 484 nt
Filed under: Tomocerus terrestralis
Lineage: Eukaryota; Metazoa; Arthropoda; Collembola; Entomobryomorpha; Tomoceridae
Description: partial large subunit ribosomal RNA
Rfam family: Bacterial large subunit ribosomal RNA
Source: RNAcentral